RNAcentral lists this long non-coding RNA (27806 nucleotides) under Fragaria vesca (wild strawberry). RNAcentral describes it as "long non-coding RNA (FVES_LNC003228)". The record is from RNAcentral. Lineage: Eukaryota; Viridiplantae; Streptophyta; Magnoliopsida; Rosales; Rosaceae.
AUCCAGGCAUGGAGUGAAACAACCAAGAAAUCCAUGGUUUGAUGGUCCAGAAUAUGUGACACAAUGUCCAAUCUUACCGGGGACAAAUUUUACCUAUCAAGUUCAGUUGAGCACAGAAGAAGGAACACUAUGGUGGCAUGCUCAUAGUGAUUGGACUAGAGCAAGCGUUCAUGGUGCCAUUGUCGUCUUGCCUGCUCUUGGAACAACAUUUCCAUUUCCUGAGCCUGAUGAAGAGGAGAUCAUUGUGUUUGGUAAGACGAUAUUCUGGCCUAGUCGAUAUUGCUCUGUAUUACUUAAUUUCAAGCAUAGGUGCAUCCAAUAUAUGCUAAGUUAGUACACUAAUUCCAAUUGCAGGAUCUUGGUAUUUGGGUAAUUUGAAAGAACAGGUUGACGAGUGUUUGGAACCUGCAACUAACUCUAACUUACCCAUAGCAGCAGGUUACACAGUAAAUGGCCGCCUUGGAGAUUUCUCUCCAUGCUCCAAAAGUAAGCAUAUAUAUAUAUGUCUUUAUCAGGUGGUUCACCUGAAUAGUUUGUUACUUCGAGUAAUGUACGUAUUUCCACAUUGCAUAUGCUUGUAGAUACAACUUAUCGUCGUAAGGUGGACUACGGCAAGACAUAUCUUCUACGGAUAGUGAAUGCAAACAUCGAUGUAGAGUUUUACUUUGCCAUUGCUGAACACAACCUCACUGUGGUUGGUUUGGAUGGCUCCUAUGCCAAACCCAUUAACACAGACCUUAUAGUGAUAGCCCCUGGACAAACAAUGGACGUGUUGCUCAACGCAAAUUCGACUCAGGGGAGAUAUUAUUACAUGGUCGGAAGAGAAUACUUAAGUGCUACAGUUGACACAGCAUCUGACGAUGAUGCUAUUGCAAUCCUUGAAUAUAAUGGCAACUAUACCACUUCAGAAGCUCCUUUAUUUCCUGAACAGAUUCCCGAUUCCUUAUCCCAAGCACCAGCACUCAACUUCUACAGAAAAAUUAGAAGCUUAGCUACCCCAGAAUAUCCUGUAAAUGUUCCAAAAGAGAGUGACGUUACUACCAGAAUGUACAUAACAGCUUCGGCCAACGCUCUUUACUGUACUGAAGAUUUAGGUCCUACAUGCUUCAACAUAUCUUUUGCCGCAAGCGUCAAUAAUAUUAGUUGGGCCAAUCCAUCAGAAUCCAUCUUGCAAGCCUACUACAAGUAAGAUACAUGUGCAUUUACUAUGAACUAGAUUCAUGAAAGCUAGCUUGUUAUGGUUAUAUUCCCACCUGAAAAUUGGUUUUGAGUGAUCUUUAUGUACAUGUAGGAACAUAAGCGAGCCGGUUUACGAAACAGAUUUCCCAGACGAGCCACCAGUUUAUUUCAACUUCACCGAAAUAGCCAUGACACUAGAUCCAGUGUUAACAGUCCAAGGGACAAAGGUGAAGGUGCUAGAGUAUAAUGAAACAGUUGAGAUGGUGUUUCAAGGCACUGAAGUGAUGGGAGGUUCUGUAAAUCAUCCAAUGCACUUGCAUGGACAUAGCUUUUAUGUGCUUGGUUUUGGUUAUGGGAAUUACUUCGCCGAGAGGGACUCAAAAACCUUUAAUCUGAUUGAUCCUCCUUAUGUAGCAACAUUCAUCACUCCAAAAAAUGGGUGGUUAGCUAUCAGAUUCGUAGCGAAUAAUCCAGGUAAUAUCCCUCUCUCCAAACUUGCAUAUAAACUAAAGAGCCUAACUAAAUUGUGAGAUUCUAAAAACUGAUGUAUGAUUUCUGUUGCAGGUGUGUGGUUUUGGCAUUGUCAUAUGGAGAGACACUUGACAUGGGGUAUGGAGUCUGCUUUUAUAAUCAAGGACGGGGGUACACCUGAGACUAGCAUGCUCCCUCCUCCGGCUACAAUGCCUUCCUGUGACGUUCCAUUGGAUUCUGCUACUCUCCCAAGUAACUCGGAAUUGAAUAAGAAUCAAAUAGAGUAAUUGAUGAAUUAAUGAUUAUGUCUUCAGUUGUACUGUUUAAUUUGAUAAAACUCGCAUAUUCCAACUUGUACGUAGAACUUGAUCGAACACACAUCAACAGUGAAGUAUUGAUUUUUAGCAUUGAUCAGGAGGAGACAUCUUUUUAAUUGAAAUCACACAGUUUCCUUAGCGAUUUCUAGAUCAAGAGACAGGAGGCGGGUGUUUAGGUUAUAUAUAUAAUUCUACAGGAACAAAACAUGUUAUUCAGAUCGCCGACGAUGAUGAGAUUUGCAACACGCCGCCGAGAACUAUGGGUUUCCAGCUACCAUUUAGAACGAAAGUUUCGUUUCACUAACUAAUAACAGGGAGUGCCACAAACCAACGUAACAUUAAUCUCAGGGCGUCACUCCACAGUUAGAGCCCAGACGUUGUGUAAAGACACACAAUCGUCUAAACGACUGUUAUACAGUUGUUCAGAAUAUUGAUAAUUUUAUAUAAAGAUACACAAUCGUUGUAUAUGCAUCGACUAGGGUUUAGGAUUGGGGUAAGACUAUGGUAUGUUUACAUUUCUCAUACAUCAAUUACUUUAUAUAUAUAAUGAGAGGAUGUGAAGCGGACGUCCGCACUCCGGCUUAAAGUGCGGACAUUGUUCUUUCUCCGCCGUCUCACGCCGGCGACGGCUUCUCUCCUUUCCGGACGACAGCACAGGCUUCCAGGACGGCUUCUCUCCUUCCAGAACUGGCCGGCAACAAGUUUUCCAGCCAACCUUGAUCAAUCAUGGUGUUUUCCGUCCAGAGCUUCAAUCCGGCCGGAAAACUUGUCGCCGGCCAGUCUUGGAAGGAGAGAAACUGUCCUAGAUGCUUGUGUUGUCGUCCAGGAAGGAGAGAAGCGGUCGCCGGCGUGAGACGGCGGAAAACAGAUAACGUUCGCACUUUAAGCCGGAGUGCGGACGUCCGCUUUACAUCCUCUCUGUGUAUAUAUAUAUAUAUAUAUAUAUAUAUAUAUAUAUAUANNNNNNNNNNNNNNNNNNNNNNNNNNNNNNNNNNNNNNNNNNNNNNNNNNGCAAGAGUCAGCUUAUACCUGUCAGUGUGACAUAACGGACAUGCAUCAAGGCCACCAAGGUCAUUCCCUUUUGGAUCUUUACCCUAGAAGAGAACGCAGUCAUAUCUGCAUGCAUGGAUCUUGAUGUAGGAAAGCCCAAGAUCUUUCAGGAUACAUCGGACCUUAUGAUGAGUGGUAGGAAGACGAUGACCGUAGGGUAGCAUCGAAACAGUGUACUGUAGAUAAUCAUCAACAGCCUUCACGGUCAAUUUUGUCUCAACUUUAAUCUUCAUUACGUCCAUCACACUUUCAAGAACGGUCUUCUGACAACCGGGGUACACAGGGGUCUGUUGAAAAGCAAGCAGUUUGUUGUACUUGUCAAUACCAGCAGUGUUGACAGCUCUAGGGAAGAGCUGCACCGGGUCAGACAUAUACUGUCCUUGAGCACAUACACCGCUCUCAUAAGGAAACAUGUCGUUGAUGAAGGCCGUUGUUGGAUUGUUAGAUGUACUGCCCGUCUCAGAAAAUUGGCCAUGAUCAUGCGGACCCCCUGAUGAUGUUUCACCGUGAUAUAACCAACAUAUGUACUUCUCCCAAAACCCGUUACUCUUCAGGUGCUGCCAUACUUUGUCAAUCGCAAAUCGAUGCAUAUCGCUGCGACACUGACAUUUCGUGCACGGGCAAUAGAAAAUUGUAUUCCCGUUAGCAUUAGCCAACGCAUAUUCCAGAAAACUCAUAACUCCUUUACCAUAUCUUUUGUCCCAUUUUGGAAGCGAAAUCCAACUCUUAUCCAUAUCCUGAAAAUAUAACAAAACAUAUAUGUAUAACGCUAGCUAAUUAUUAAUUAAAUUCUAUGCCAUAUAUAAAAUCUCAAUUCAUUUAGUAUAUAUUCUAGGUACUACAACUAAUUGAUAACAAAUUAAUUAACACACACACACACACACACAUAUAUAUAUAUAUAUAUACAGUUCUUAUCUAGAGCGAAGCUUCACUUUGAAAUUAAAGUGUGAAGUUCCUUAUCUGACUCAUUUUUCAGUCAUAUUUCGACAUCUCCACCGUUCUGUUUAUUGAUACUAAUACAUAGAUCAUUCUUGCAAAAUUUCAUUCAAAUUUGAUGAUCAUUUAGAUACCGAAUUAAGUGAAAUCAAUGAACAGACCAUAAACCUGUCUGACUAGAACUGUUUGUGUAAAUCAUGAUUAUAAACACUCAAACGAUCAUCAAAUUCGAUAAAACUUUACAUAAGUGAUCUAUGCAUCUGAUUCUACAAAGUGAACGGUGGAGAUGUCGAAAUAUGACCGAAAAAUGAGUUAAAUAAGGAAUUUCACACUUUAAUUUCAGAACGAAGCUUCGCUCUGGAUAGAAACUGUAUAUAUAUAUAUACUUAUUAAUUACAUAACAAUAUUAUAUAUAUCAACAUCAUCACAAAAUCAUCAUCAACAACUUUAUACCAUCAACACAAUAUUAUAAAUUAAUUAACAUAUAUAUAUAUAUAUAUAUCUACUACUUAUGAACNNNNNNNNNNNNNNNNNNNNNNNNNNNNNNNNNNNNNNNNNNNNNNNNNNUAAAUUUCAUUAAGAGAAUAAAAUAUAUAAUAAAAAUGAAGGUCCAUUAAAUGUUUAUUAAGAGAAUCAUAAAUUUUUUAAAUAAAUAUUUAUUUAUAAAUUAUAUAUAAAUAUAUAUAUAAUAAUAAAUUAUAUAAUUAUAUAUAAUAAUAUUUUCAUUCUUAAUGGGUGGGGAUGGAGACGAAUAUCAAAAUACCAUACCCUCCUCGUACCCGAUUUAAGAAUCCGAAUACUGAGGAUCCUUAUCCCCAUUACCCGUUUAUACCCGUAUAUCUUCCCCGUUAGGGUCGAAUACCCGUGGGUACCUUACCCGCUGGGGAUUAUUGCCAUCCCUAGUUGGGGGAGGAGGAGAUGGAGAUAGAGGACAAAAACGUACCUUACCGUAAACAACUUGCAAACACGUGCUCCAGACAGCUUGAGUACUGCGUACAUUACCUGCAUCAUAACUUCAUAAGCUCUGAAAAUUGAAAGUCCUUGUAUCUGUGUGUCCAUGUAGAGAAAGUAUAGCCACCACUGUUGCAAUAGGAGUGACAAUUAAUGUAGGAAAAGAAAAUGGAGAAUUUUCAUAUACACCCAAUUUUGAAGAGCGGUUUUAAAUAAAACCCACCUAAUAUUCUUAUCUGAUAGACAUCUAAAAUGUACCAAUUAUGAUAAAUAUUAUAUCCUAUUUUUUUCUAAAUUUUACACAAUUGCCACCAUUCAACUAUAACAUAUUAAUAUAAUAAAUAAGCUUAAUUGAUGAUGUCAUAAAUACCUUGAUUAUGGGUUUUUCUUCUAACACUAACAUUUUUCAAUCAAUUUGCAAGAAUUAUGUAGUUAAAGGAAUUCAUUCUCUAAUCUAUACAUAAGGUAAAAUAUAAUAUGAAUAAGAUAUCUGAUCUAAACCCUAUACCCUAAAACCUAAACCCUAUACCCUAUACCUUAAACCCUAUACCCUGAAUAAGAUAUCUGAUCUAAACCCUAUAACCUAAACCCUAAACCUAUACCCUAACUCUAUACCCUAAACCCUAUACCUUAACCCUAUACCCUAAACCCAAUUUUGGGUUUCUUCUUUUUAGGUAUAUUAUCAUAUCAUGUCAUACUUAAUAGGUACAUUAGAAACGUAAGUAGUAAAGAGAUGUUCUCUCGAUUAGGAUGGGAAAUGAUAUAAUAAUAUAUCUAAAAAGAAGAAAAUUAAUCAAAGAACAAAAAUGCGUACCUUACAAUUAGACAUUUUCGACUAUGUAGAGAAACACCAAAUGUGAGCUUAGGAAUGAAAAGUAUCAUCCUAUUACAAAUGACAUACUUUUGUAUAUAGCAUAUAUAUAUAUAUACACUUAAGUUAGUAAUAACAAGGUAAGAAAUUAAAGAAUGUAAUUGAUUAUGACAAAGUUAAAUCCAACUAAAUUUUAGCUAGUAUUUGAGUUUCAAAUUAAUGCUAAAAUUGAGAAACAUACCAAAUUUAGCUUUCUACUGUUUGAAGGGCAAAUUAGAGAAACCGAAAAAUGAAAAAAACUAUUAAUUAUAGACAUUUGCUCUAUAUGGUAUGUUUGCUUAUGUGGAGUGGGUGUAAAAUAAAACAAAAAUAUGUAUGUGUUUAUCUUAAAAGAUGUCUAGUAUUUUGAGUUUUUAUUUAAUUUUCUCAAAGGAAAAUGUAAUCAAUGUAAUCUAGCUUGUACGUUUUUGCAGCACAACAGUACAGUGGAAUAUUAGUUCCCUUCGGUCUGUUUGGUGUUGUAACUUGUAAUUCCAUGGUCUGGUUCCUAAUUAGUAGCUACCACAGUUGCGUAGGCCCAAGCCGAAUGGGAAGGCAGCUUGCCAACAACUACCUGGCCGAGCUUAAUUGCCAACUACCUGAGCGAGUCCGGCCAUGGCAUUUGUGAUUGUAAAGACCAAGAAAUCAAGCUACUACCUAUCUUUUAACAGCAAAUCCAACAAAAAUCUUCUUGCAACCAAAAUCAAUUACAAAAUGUGGAAAAGACAAACGAAAUAUUAGAAGUAUCACCAGACUUUCGCAGUCGUCACGUCACUGAAUGCAGUGUAAAUGGGAACAAAUUUGUUCUAUGCCUUUGUUGGAUGUAAUACCAUUAUUGUUGUAGUGCUUGUAGAAAACUCUUCGAUCGAGCUUGAAUAUGGACAUGAUAAUAAUAUGAGAGUUUUUGGAGAUAUAUCGAGAGCAAAAUAUCAUGAUUCUUUCAUCAAGAUUCAAACUCCAUUUUCUAUUUUGGAAAACUGAAAAUGGCAGGUGCACACACGUUAAUGGUUGGCCCCGUACCGUAGUUUUCGAACUUUUUGGUAAGAAAGGUUGUUAAGAAGAACAUAUAUACCUACAUGAAAUCAACAUACUUGAGGAACGCAUAAAUUUAAGCAGUGUGCGCAAAUCUGUAGCUCCCUAGAUUUCAAAUACUUCACAAACAAAUGCGCGCAGCACAGAUUGAAAUCUUUGAGGAGUACUAGUACGUAGUCCAGUCAUGGCGACACAGUUUCUAGUGUUCGCUGUUCUUAUUGUCAUCCUACUGGUGUUCAGCUCUUUUGCUCAAUGCGAAGUGCAUUACCAUGAUUUUAUAGUAAGUAAAUUUUUUGAUGCUUUAUAAUUUCCCAGUUCGAUCAUCUAUUCCCUUCAAGCAUUCGAGUAUCUAUAUUCUACGUUAUUCAUUCCAGCUAUCUUUGUUUCAUGCAUGGAAUGAUGGAAUCGUAAUAUAACUAAUUUGUUCUGAUCUUUUACUAGUUUAGUUAUGUGCAUCUUGGUAAUUGCAAUUUUUGAUCUAUUAGGUUAAGGAGGUAAACUUCACUAGAUUGUGUGAAACAAAGCUCAUGUUAGUAGUAAACGAGAGUUAUCCAGGUCCAGCAAUACGAGCUCGCAAAGGAGACACUAUUUAUGUUAAUGUCUACAAUAAAGGAUAUUACGGAUUCACCAUUCACUGGCAAGUCCCUUCACACCACCUCCUCCUCUUAUCAGUUUAUAUAUAUAUUGCUUCCUUGUACUUUACAUUAUUAAAUUGAUCAUCUUUUAUCUUUGUAAAUUAACAUGCAAACACUUGGUAUGAUGAUCCAGGCAUGGUGUAAAACAACCAAGAAAUCCAUGGUUUGAUGGCCCAGAAUAUGUGACACAAUGUCCAAUCUUACCUGGUACUAAUUUUACCUAUCAAGUUCAGUUGAGCACAGAAGAAGGAACACUAUGGUGGCAUGCUCAUAGUGAUUGGACUAGAGCAAGCGUUCACGGUGCCAUUGUUGUAUUGCCUGCUCUUGUAACAACAUUUCCAUUUCCGGAGCCUGAUGAAGAGGAGAUCAUUGUGUUCGGUACACACGCACUUGGCCUAGUUAAUGUUGUUCAAUAUUCAACUAUACACUAGCUACCUAAUUACAUGCAUAUGUGCAUCAUAUAUAUGCUAAGUACACUGAUCUAAUUGCAGGAUCUUGGUACUUGGGAAAUUUGAAAGAAGAAGUCGACGAGUGUUUGGACCCUGCUACUAACUCUAACUUACCCAUAGCAGAUGGUUACACAAUCAAUGGCCGACUUGGGGAUUUUUCUGCAUGCUCCCAAAGUAAGCAUAUAUAUGGAUUUAUCAGGUGGUUCACCUUGCUAGUAUGUUACUUAAACUAAUGGAGUUCCAUAUUACAUAUGCGUGUAGAUACAACUUAUCGUCGCAAGGUGGACUACGGCAAGACAUAUCUUCUUCGGAUAGUAAACGCAAACAUCGAUGUAGAGUUUUACUUCGCCAUUGCUGAACACAGCCUCACUGUGGUUGGCUUGGACGGCUCCUAUACCAAACCUAUCAACACAGGCUAUAUACUGAUAGCCCCUGGACAAACAAUGGAUGUGUUGCUCAACGCAAGUUCGUCUUUGGGAAGGUAUUACAUGGUCGGAAGAGAAUACAUAAGCGCUACAGUUGAAACACUCUCCGACACUGCGAAUGAUGCUAUUGCAAUCCUCGAAUAUAAUGGAAACUAUACCACUUCGGAAACUCCUUUAUUUCCUGAUCAGAUUCCCAAUUCCUUAUCCCAAGAACCAGCAUUCAGCUUCUACGGAAAACUUAGAAGUUUAGCCACCCCAGAAUAUCCUGCAAGUGUCCCAAAAGAAAGUGAGGUUACUACCAGAAUGUACAUAACAGCUUCUGCCAACGCUCUUUACUGUACUGAAGAUUUAGGUCCCUCAUGUGUUAACAUAUCUUUUGCUGCAAGCGUCAAUAAUAUUAGCUGGGCUAAUCCGAGGGAAUCUGUCUUGCAAGCCUACUACAAGUAAGUUACAUAAGUUCGAACUAGAUGUUUGCAUUGGAAGCUAGCUUGUUAUACUUGAAAAUUGGUUUUGAUGGAUCUUUAUAUACAUGCAGAAACAUAAGCGAGCCGGUUUAUGAAACAGAUUUCCCAGACGAGCCACCUACUUAUUUUAACUUCACUGAAAUAGCAAUGACACUAGAUCCAGUGCUAACAGUCCAAGGGACAAAGGUGAAGGUGCUAGAGUAUAAUGAAACAGUUGAGAUGGUGUUUCAAGGCACUGAUGUGAUGGGAGGUUCUGUAAAUCAUCCAAUGCACUUGCAUGGACAUAGCUUUUUUGUGCUUGGAUUUGGUUUUGGGAAUUACUUAGCCCAGAGGGACUCAAAAACUUUUAAUUUGAUUGAUCCUCCGUAUGUAGCAACGUUCAUCACUCCAAAAAAUGGAUGGUUAGCUACCAGAUUCGUAGCGAAUAACCCAGGUACUUGCAUAUAUCUCUCCAAACUUGCAUAUAUGAGAGUAAUAUUUGAUGUAUGAUUUCUGGUGCAGGUGUGUGGUUUUGGCAUUGUCAUAUGGAGAGACAUUUGUCAUGGGGUAUGGAGUCUGCUUUUAUAGUGAAGAACGGGGGCACACCGGAGACUACAAUGCUCCCUCCUCCGGCUACAAUGCCUUCCUGUGAUGUUCCACUGGAUUCUUCUACUAUCCUAAGGCAUGCGGAAUUAAGUAAAAAUCAACUAAAGUAAUUAAUAAUAAUGUUGAGGUCAUGAGUUCAAACCUCAUCAACAUAUAUAUGUAAAGUGCGUGAUUAAAUAGUAAUAAAAAUAAAUUAAAAAAAAAAUAGAGUAAUUAAGUAAUCGUUCAUAUCGGUUGAUCUAUCGUAGCAAGUGUAAUGCCUUGUGUAGUCACCGACUCACCAUUACCAUUUGUCAUGAUGUUGCUUUUGUUUAUACUUGUUAUGUACAAUAGUAUAUAAUGAAGGGAAAAUUUUAAGAACAGUACAUGAAGUAUGAGUCAUUAAGAAUUAAGGUGAAUAUACUUCAUAAAAUAUCACAAUUGUGCAUGAGGUUGAAAAUGAUACACACUUUUAGUACCUACCUUUACUAACACCAUUAACCCUUAUGUCAUUAUUUAUUUUUCAAAGGGCAAUCUAGUCAUUCCAUCUCACCCUCUCUCUCAUUCUCUCUCCUCCUCUUUUCCCUCUCCGACACGGAACUCCUCCUUCCUCUCCAUUGACAACCACAAUCCAAUUUCUCUCUCUUUUAGAGAACCCACAACCCCUCUCUUCUCCUCCAAAGACCCACACCCCAAUUUCUCUCUCCCUCCCAGUAAGGUCCUUAUGAGCAAUAAUCUCGAUGGAGAUUUUGGAAGGGUCGGGUUUAAUUUUGGAUCUGAGUUCAAGAAAGUUUGAUUUGUGAUGGAAUUCUGAUAUUUAUAGCUUUGAGUAUGAUUCCGGAUCUGAGAUCAAGAUAGUCAGGAUGCAACCAUUGAGUGGCCGAAAAGAACAAUCAGAAGUAGACUUGGGUUGCAACUGUUGAUGAGGGAUGUAUGUGUUUUGGCCACAAUCCUCAGCAAGGGUAGAGAGGUAACUUAGCAGUUCCAAAAGCAAAACGACGGGUGCAGGCGUGUCACCGUGCGGACGCGGAACGUAGAUGCGCUGGUACUGGACUUCUAAUCAAACGAAAGGGGCUCCGGUGCCACCUUAUGGAUGAGGGAUUACAAGUAACAUUCCUAUUCGCUUGCAAUCGAUACUCACUGUUGUAGCGAGCAAAGCAACUAAUCAGGACAGUAAACAAAGGCGAGACCAAACGGACUCUAUAAACUAAGGCGAGAUGCACUUUAGCGUUAGGAUUUUAAGUAGCUCGAAGAUUUGUUAUAGUUGUUGUAUGAUUUGAUUGUGUAGAGAGCUCAACCGGAUCCUCGAACUCCCUUAUAUAGAGGCGAGCUCGUUUAGAUGUUGAUAAGGAUCGGUAUUCUCUGCAUAGUCGGUUGAGUUGCACAAGGUUUCAUCUUCCUUGACAACACGUAUGUAGACUUAUUUUAAGGCCACAGGUAUUGGCCCAAAAUGAGAUACAAGUCUCCAACAUUGAGAUAUUUUAUAUGACAAUGCUAGCUAUCUCCAUAUUGAAUCAAAACAGGAGUUACUUUGAUAAGGUGUCAUAGGCAUACUAAUCACCUCUUCGCCGAUACUUUCUUUAAAGAAAGAAGAGUUCGCUACGUGUGCACCUCUUGGAGAUGUGCAUAUGCAUGUCCUUAAUCAAAUAGAACAUUACAUUGCUACUGGACUAUUCCACCUUCAGCCAUGCAACACGGAUGGUUAAUUGGAUAUAUAUAUAUAUAUAUAUAUAUAUAUAUAUAUAUAUAUAUAUAUAUAUAUAUAUAUGAAAGCUUGAUAAUUAAUAGUCCACACUCCCUCUCUUAUGCGAAGUCUUCCACCAUGACUGCAAGAAGACCUCUUCGCAUGCAAACCUUAUCCAGCUCGCAUGAAACUUUAGUCCUUGUGUGCGAAGGCUUCUACACAGCUCGCAUGCUAGUUUCUUCGCAUGCAAACUUCUAGACUCACGUGAACUUUACCGACUAGCUCGCAUGUUUUUGCUGGCGAGCCAUCAUUAGUAAACCCAAUAUUUCGGGCUCGCCGGUGUGACGUGGACCAUGAAUUUAACUAAUAUUCAUAUAAACAAUUAUUGUCCAGUAAAAUAUUAAUUCCGGGUGUAAACAAUAUGUGCUUGAAGAUGAAGAGAAGGUGCCCAGAUUAGUUUCGUGGGUGUCCAGUCUCUCCUCACUCGUCGUAUUGAUAGUCCAAGCUUUUGAGUUUGAAUCCUCAACUUCUCCUCACUCUUCAAACCAGAAUCUUAGAAGUCCCUGAAACCUUCAUCAAAAAUCUCAAUACCAGAAAACCCUACCACUUAUAUUCAUUAUUGAUGCAAAAUCCUAAUCAUUUUGUAUCUGUUUGGAAGAAAAAGAUAAAUAUUGGAUCUAUAUGUGAUGGGUUCUUAUUUGACCGGUGUUCGGAGAAAAUGAUUGACGUACAAUAUGGAGGUAGUGGAACAAAGAAGUAGUGAGAUUGGUCAAGUCUGCAUUUUCUAUUUUUUUGUCUGUUUCUUCAGUAUCACUUAAGAGACGAUUUUGUCCUCAAAAAAUUAACGGAAUCAAGUAGACUAACAGUCAAACUGACGGUAUGUAUAUAUGUGGAGUUGGGAUUUAAACUACAGGUACUAUUGUUCUGUUUUAUAAAGUUAAUUCACCUUAAUUCUCAGUGGCUCGUACUUGAUGUAUUCUUAAAAUUUUCCCUAUAAUGAAAUAGUAAGACUUCAGAAAACCCACAUUUUUUAUUUUGUUUGGUUCAAUAAUGCAUAAAUUUUGGGAACGCGACAUGCUCAAUUUCGUUCUUGUCUACAAUUAGGAUUCACUAUCUGCUAAUGGAAGUGUUGUUGAAUAUAUGAAGUAUGUGGUUUGUAUAACAAACUACGAGAGAUUUCAGUUAAUUUGUAAGAAGUUGUUUUGCUGGAAAAAAACGGUCAUCUCGACGUCAUGGUGCUUUCACCUCACGAGGCUUCACUAAGUCGCAUUUGCUUUUGCUUUUGCAUCGACAAUAUCUUAUGAAACCUUUGCACUGGAGAUCCAAGGGUUCUACCAGAACCUCCUCCCGGCCUAAUUCUUUAUCCAAAUGAUACUUUGGGAAGUGUGGAACCAUAAAAGGAAAAAUGGACCGAACAAUAUCUCACUUUUUAGAGAAACUAACUUUUGGUAUCUCAACUUUUAAAAACUUCAUAACGGUAUCACACAUUCUUACCCCGACUGAAAAUGGUGCCCGAAACAGUUAACUCCGUUAAAUGACUGACGGAAGACAAAUUUUGAUGGGUAUUUCCGUCCGUUCUCAUCUUAAUUCUUUUCUUUCUUUAUUUUAUAAACACUGAUUUCUCUCUUAGUUUCCUUAUUGGCUUAUUCUUUCUAGUUUCUUCCUCAUUCUUUCCAUGUUGGUGCUAACAUCUUGGCCGGUGGUGCUUUUGACUGUGCUUCAAUGGACCCAGCAGUCUCAUUCGGACCCGCCGUCGUCAACUGGUCAUAGGACAGCCACUAGUGUACUUGCUCGGGGUAUUUCUCGGUGUCAGCAUUGUUGCUAUCAUCCACGACUGGAUCUUCAUCGGCCCAACUACCCAUGAGCCACUACCUACCACAGACUUAGGGCUGGCAAUUUGGGCCAUGUCGAAACCAACUAACCUACCCAUGAGCCACUACUUGGUACGGUAUACCGUACCAGUACUUAGUAACAUGGUUGAUACUUAAUAUUGAGAUUUUCUUAUCAUCGGUAUACCGUACCAACUAUGUAUGUGUAAUUAUGCAAAAAUACACUCAUAUCUAUGUAGGAAACGAGAAUUAAAUCUUUAACCUCUUACAAACAACCUAUAAAAUGUAUAAUAUAUAUAAAGACAAUUAAAAUAUAUGUAUAAUAUAUAAUAUAUGUAUUGUUUUAUAUUUAUAACAUACUAUAGAUAUAAAUACAAUUAAAAUAUAAAAUGUUUAAAUUUUAGCAAGAGGUAUGUUCCAAAACUAUGACUGCUCUGAUGGAAAAUAUGAUCACAUACCAUCAGACCAAAGCUAUCAUUGCAUUAUAUUUUUAAAAAAAUUAUAUUUAUCACUUCAUUUUUUGGGCCACAAUCUAAACUUAGUAGAGGCAUAUUACCAACCGAGUACCAACUAUACCAACUAAGUCGGUAUACCAACUUCGGUGGUUGGUUUUGGUAGAGGAUUUUGUCUAUCAAUCAUAAGUUAGUUGGUACAUGGUAUUAGUAAAUAAAGUCGGUAUACCAACCAAUGUCAGCCCUACACAGACUACGCUCAUGCAUCAUUCACGCUUCCAAUCUCAGUCUAAUUGAUGAAAUCGGUUUUUGAAUUUUAGUUCUUUUUUCUUUUCCGCAGUGAAGUGGGUGGGUUUGUUGAAGUUUGCAUUUGGUUGUUGUUAAAUGUUGAUUCCAAUGUAUUGUUCUGUUUUUGUUCGUCUUGGGCUCAAUUCUUAAAGUUUGAGGCGCAAAUUAAGAGAGGCCUGAUCUGGAAUUGAAUAAUGAAGUAUAAUUAGUCACCAGCUGAAUAAAAAAAGCUAAUAGGCUACAACAAACCAAUUAGUUGUUAAUAUCAUUGUAUCAAUGUACCACAAAGAAUUUUCAGUUUUUGGAUUCGUCUGUUUCUCAUGCCAAUAAUCACAUAUCAAAUUCAAAACAGUAAUUGAGUUUCUUUCUCAUAUACUUCAAGUACGGAUAGAUGAAAUUUAUACAUGAAAGAGAACAAAUGGGCAGAUGAGAUUCAGUCUUUUGAAAGGGAGAGUUGGCGUGGACUGGGCAAGGAAAAGAGAUGUGAACUCUAGAGAAUGUUGAAACUUGAAACCCAGAAAAACCUCCCAAAAAAGGGAAAUUUGCUGGAGCCGCCUGUGGUGCGCCCAAUUUGAACAAUUCAAGGAAUAAAAGGAAAAAAAAUUUCUUUAUUUCUUUUAUUUUUUGAAAAGAAGAUUUAAAGAUAAAAACAAGAAUGAAGAGUAAAAUAGUCAUUUCAUGAUAAAAAUAUGUCUGUCGUCAAUAUUUUUAACAGAGCUAACGGUUUCAAAUAUCAUUCUUUAAUCAAGAUAAAAACGUGAAAUACAGUAAGAUUUUAAAAGUUGAGAUACCAAAAGUUAGCUUCUUUAAAAGAUAAGAUAUUGUUUGGACCAUUUUCCCUGUAAAAAAAUUGUAGAAGUGUUUUUCAGUCGACUCUCUCUGCUAGGGUUUUCCUAGAAAAGGAGGUGUUCAGGUUUAGGGUUUAGGGUGGCGUGGGCAAAUUUCAGGCGGCUUCGACGCUAGGAAGCAUGGAAGCGUGGCUCUGCCCACGAUUCGCGCUUCCGAAGCGGAAGCGAAGCGGAAUCGUGUCGGAAGCGGUCGGAAGCGCAUGGAAUCGCGCUUCCUGGAAAAAGGCUGUUUGGGAGCGCGACGGAAGCGCGAGCUUCCAAUUCGGAAGCGUACAAUUUUGAUCCGGAAGCGCCCAAAUUCCAAACCAAAUACCACCCAGCCCAAAAUCCAAACCCAAUACCACCACAAGCACCACCGACUUGUCUAGCCACCACCACCACCAAUAUUACCAAUCACCAUUCAUCGCUCUUCUUUGACACUGCUGACAUUUUAGACGACCCCGAAACCGAUUCCGGCGUCUAUCUAGUGCUAGAAGUACGAAAAGAACAAAUGGGUUUAGUGUGUACUGGUUCAAAUUGAUCAUUUGAUGGAUUUGUUGGUCAAAACUUUGCAGAAAGUUAUGAACUUGCUGCCGAAUUUGACGCCGGGAGAGGAAUUGGGAGGAAGGAGUGUACGGACAGGUGUUGGAGUAGAUGGGUGAGGGGCUGAGGACGCGCGUGAGGAGGGGUUGUUAUUGUGAUUAGGUUUUUUGUAUUUCUUUAAGUGAUGGGUUUCCUGCAGCCUUAUCUAGUUACUCCAUUCUAGAAUUUUUGUUUUCUUUGUUUUAUCUGAUGGUUACUCUUAGGAGUUAGGAUUAAUUUAUUCUUAGGGGUCUAUCAAAUUAUACAUUGCUAACUUAAGCUGAUCAUGUUCAUGUUCAUGAUCAUGAGAAUGAGGAUGAGGAUGAUGUCUUUGGUGAUUAAGUAGAUUAGUGUUUAUUUUUAUUUGAGUUAUUUGAUUGUAGAACAAUAACUUUGAAUUUGAAUUUGAUAAUGACUUUAAAUUUUCUAUUUAUUAAUUUUUGUAUAAUUAAAUAUAUAUAUAUAUAUAUAUUUAUAUAUGUAUUAUUUUAUUUCGACGCUUCCAGAACGCUUCCGCUUCCAAUAAAUUUUGAAAAAAAACGCUUCCACGUUUCCGCUUCCGAUUCCAUGCAACGUAGCUUCGACAGCACGGAGGAAUGCCCUAGAUCGUUCUUGUUGUUAGGGGUUGACAAUGGCUGACUUGUGGGCUGCGGCGUUGACUUGUGUGUUAUGUUUUCGAUUCAGGGGUGCCGGGUUCUUCUUGGCGGCAGUGGCUUAGAUCUGAUCUGGGUCUAGGUUCGGAUCGAGGUUUUUGUACCAAGGGUUGUGAUAUCUCUCAUCUAGUAUACUGCUAGUUCAGCAACAAGAGUUUGGCACGGCUGGGAUCGGGUUGUCCCAAUAUGAGUAAAAAUAUGGCAACUUUAGGAAGACUGUGAUGGUGGGAGGGGUGAGGUCGGCCGCCGAAAAUGGGCGGUGCCAGAGUUUGGAUCUGCCUGAAGUGAGGGAAGGAGAGAAGAGAGAUGGGGGUUAUGGCGGGUUAUGGACCUUGGGCCUCUAAUCUAUAUGGGCUGCAUAUAUGGCCUGGAUAGAUUAGCCCAUCCUCCUUUUUUUUUUUGCUUUUUUCAGUUUUGGAUGCUAAUUUCCUUUAUUUCCUUUUUGUUUAGAAAAUGGCCUAUAAUCUAUCGGGCCAAUUACAUAAAAGUCCACUUGGAGACAUUUUCUCUCAUAUACCCAUAUAGGUCCACCUAAACAUUUUUACCCACAUAAGCCUACCCAAGCCUAAAUAGAGUCUUAUAUUAGGUAUUAAAGUUCAACAAAAUUACAGACUGUCAUCCAACCAAAAAAUUAGAUUUUAUCUCUUCUAUUUACAAAAGUGCCACUAAUGUAAAAAGUCAACAACCACAAAUGGUCUCCGGUUGACCUCCGGCGAGGUCUCCGACCGACCUCCAACGAACUUUCCGGCCUACCAUCUAUGAGGAUUCUAGUGACCACAAAAGCUACUACCACUGACAACAAAAGAUACUACCGAUAGCAAAAAAAAGCUACUACCACCAGCAAAGAAAGCUACUACCGAUGGCAACAAAAACUACUACCGAUAGCAAUAAAAGCUACUACCGCGAGUAAAGAAAGUUACUACCGCCACCAACAAAAAAUACUACCGAUAGCAACAAAAGAUACUACUGCCAGCAGCCAAAGCUACUACUGCCAACAACCAAAACUACUACUGCCAACAGCCAAAGCUACUACUGCCAUCAACAAAAGAUACUACCGCCACCAACAAAAGCUACUACCGCCAACAACAAAAUCUACUCAUAUGAGAUUGAGAAAGAUACUAGCAUAGAAGUUGAAAAUGCUUCGAUUGUAUAUACAAAAUAUUAUUAUCGUGUUGAAAAGAUACUAAUACAGAUAUUAAAAAAUACUAAAAUUAUGUAGCUUUUUACAAUGAUAUAAUUAUAUAUAAAGCUACUUCUGUACUUAAAAAAAGUUACUAUUAUAGUUUAGAAAGUCUAUUGCAAUAGUUUUAUAAAGCUACUUCUAUAGUUUUGCCGUUCUUGAUUAACACGCGACUUUAUUUCAAAUAUUUCUUGGUUAGCCAAAUGAUCUAUCUCUUGGUUAAGAGAGGCUUCAAUAUCCAAAUCUGCAUGAGAUUUCUGCAAGAACAAAUGCACAACAAAAUAUUAGUAUUUGAAAUGAAAACUAAAAACAACAAUGAAAAUAAAAGCUACUCGGCCUUUUUGGCUCUUAGUGUCGAAAAUAUACUACCAAGUAAUUAAUAUAAAAACUACUCGACCUUUUUGGCUCAUAUAUAUAUUAGUCAUUCAUCAUUACAUCAUGUAUUUUAAAGCUUCAUAAAUCUAAUAACCAAGACAAUGCAUUAUGACAUACAAGAGAAUAGGUCAAUAUGCUUGCUAUUGAGAAUAGAAACUGUAAUACCCCGGAAUUUUUAGAUGCUAGUUUCUUUUAUUUUUAUUCGGUUGACUUUUUGGCUGACUUUUAAGAGGCUAAAAGUUGACUUUAUUUUUCGUAAGUUAUCUUCGAAAACUUCCUUCAUGAAAGUUGUAGAGUUUAUCGAUACGAGUUCGUAGACAUGUGGCACGCUUGAAACAGAGGUCGUAUGAAAAAGUUACGGUCAGAGGAAGUUAGUUUCCGAUUUUAGAAGGUAUAUAAAUAGAAAGUGGUGGGUUUUAUUUUUGGAAACCUAGCAGCCUCACUUUCUCUCUCCUCUCUCCCGACCUCCUCCCGCACUCAAACUUCUCUGGAUCGGUUCUCCUCCGUCCGGCCACCAUUUGGACCGCUGCUGGUCCCGUUCGACUCCUGCAGACAUCCUCUCCAUUUCUGGAGCAGUCCUGCUCGCCGCCUCGCCGUCUAGACGCCGCCACGAAGCGGCGGAGCUGCUGCGGUCUCACCGGAGUUCUUCUUGUUCCGGCCACCAAUCGGGACGCCGCCGGUCCCGUUAGACUCACACAGAUGCCCCCUUCAAUUCUAGGCUGGUGUGACACGGCGUAGAAAGCCAGAGACGGAGCUCUUGGCCGGAGAAGAGCACGGCUGUGUCACUGAUCGGAACCGCCGUUUGCGGCGGCGACGAGGGGCAACCCUAGGUGAGUUUUGGUCCUCUCCUCCUCCUGGUAGUGUCUAGGCAAAGAUUAAAGCAAGUUUUUGAGGUUUUGAGGCCGGUUUUGCAAGUUUGAGGUGUGAUUCCGGGUUAGGGUUCCAGGGCAGUUUCCGGCCGGUUCCGGCCAAAAUUGGUUGAAGCCUCAGGUAUGAAAGUUGCUCCCCUUGCUUCAAGCUUCAUCUUUGUUGUUGAGAGUUUUCUCUAAUUCGAAAGUUUUUGAUGGCGCGUGGGGCCCACUCGCCGCCGCCGCCUGUGGCGGCGCGUGGCAGCACGUCCGGUAGGGUUUGUGGCUUAGGCUGCUGUGUUUUGGCUAGCUCUUGUUGUGGUGAGCUUAUUGAGAUGUAGAUUUCCUAGGUUGUGCGCAAGGUAUACAUGAUAGGACUUUAAGUAUUUAGUAGGUUUGGUUGAGGGUUGAUUAGAAUUUGAGGAUUAGAGGCAACCAUUUUUGGGUCUCUAAGUUCGGCGACUUUGGAAAGUUGUCCUCUCUUGAACUAAGGGUUAGUUGAGGGUUUUGUGAUAACCUAUAGUAUUUUAGUUACUAAGGUUUUAAUUGUGUUUUUAGGUGAUUUAUGAGGUGGUGUUUUGGAUUGCUCUUGUUGUUGUGGAAAUUUCAGCGGGCUUAUAAGGUGAGUAACAUCUCACUAAGGUUCACUUUGUGACCUAUUUAUUUAUGGUUAUUUUGAUGAUUAUGAUUGGUGAAAAUGUUGAUGAUGAUGAGGAUGAUUUUUGUGUUGAUGAUGAUGAUAAUUAUUAUGAUGAUUUUAAAUUUAAAAAUUCUGUUUUUGGUUUGUUUUAAAAUAAUGAGCUUGAUCGCCAACGGCUCAUAGGUAAGCUAAAACAAGUUUUCCUUAUAUGAUUAUUUUAAGUUCCUUGUGAUCAUAAUUUUAUUGGUGAUUGAUAGAUUAUUUCUUGUGGAAAUAUCUAGAUUUAUUCAUAUAAUUAUAUCUAUGUGGAAGGAUAUAAUUUUAUGGUGUGCUCUUUGUGUUGUUGAUGAUGUUGAAUUAAAAAUAUGAUGAUGAUUUAAAUGUUAUGCUUUUAAAUAAUUGUGGUUGCUAUGAUAAUGAUUUUGAUGAUUGUGAUGAUGAUGAUGAUGUUAAUGAUGUUGAAUUAAAGUAUACGUUAUUCUUUGUUUUUAAAAAUAAAUGAGUUUGAUCGUCGACGGCUCAUAGGUAAGAUAAAACAAGUUAGAUAGUCAAACCGGGUUCCAAGCCUUUAAUCGGGUAAUUAGUUGCGGUUAUGAUGAUUCUACUCUUUUGUGAUUUGUUGUGUAGAUAGUCAAACUGGGUUCCAAGCCUUUAAUCGGGUGAUUAGUUACGGUUAUGACGCUAUUAUUAUUUUGUGAUGUGAUAUUGGACGGUCAAACCGGGUUCCAAGCCUUUGGCCGGGUGAUUGGUUACGGUUAGGAAUAGAGCUCUAGUUCGUCUGUCGGUGUAGGUCAUGGGAGGUACCUGAAGGUAUCUGGGACCCAUGGGUACAUAAAUUGUUGUUGUAGGUCAUGAGAGGUAUUUAUUAAUAUCUGGGACUCAUGGGUACAUGUGUUUGUUGUAGGUCAUGGGAGAUACCUUAUUGGUAUCUGAGACUCAUGGGUAUAUGUGUAUUUGUAAAAGUAUUGGUUAUGUGGUUUUAACAUUUUCUUAAUUGUUGUCAUUUAAUUCUUUAUUUGAAUAUCUCCUGAACUAUGCUUAAUGCAGGAGAUUCUUUAAUCGUAAUUGUAUGAUUUUUAGUGAAUUUCCUGAACUAUCCUUUUUGCAGGAUUCACUUAUGAUUUGGAUUGUUGUGGAUUGUUGUGUUUUCUUAUUUACUCACUUUUGAAUUUUAUUGUUUUGAGAUGAUUCCUGAACUAAGUUCUAAAGCAGGAAUUACCAGUUUUAUCUUAUGUGGUGUUGGAGAUGUUGAGUAAAUUUUGAGAAUUACUCACACGAGCUUUUUAGCUUACCGGGUUUGUUGUUACAACCCGGUGCACCAAUUCAUGGUGUAGGGGUUAGACUUGUAGGUGAUGAUCAGCAGGGUUGAGGCAGAAGCAUAGUAGCUGGGUAUUAGAUGAAGUACAUUUUAUUGUAUAAUUUUCAGUUUGUUUUUAGGCGCAUUUGAGCGUCCUUAUUUUUCUAGACUUUUGAAGUUAAUGUAAUUAAGGAGAUGUAAUGUAUAACUCAGUGAUGAGUUUUGUUGAUAUUUAUAUUUCCAGCUUUUGGGUUUAGUUUGGGAUUGUUGAGCAGGUAUUGGAGUCUUAUUUUUGAGUUAUAUCAUGCCCAAAUUUUUGAAAUUUAUCCUUCGAAAAUUAGGGUGUGACAGAAACUGAUUGAAGCAUUUGAUCGAACAGGUGGUGGACAUCUAAUUAAUCAUGUCAUAUCUAAACUCAUGAGAAUUUGUCACAUCUUCACAUCCAAAAUUAAUCAAUCGACAGUCAAAACGAAAUGUAUUCUCAAAGGUCUAGGUGUAGGAGAAGAACGUCUCCUAUCCCUCCACCAUAAUCAAAUCGGCGGUCAAUUCCUACCAUCUCAUAUUUGUUUUGACAUUUUCGUGGAAGACUCCGCUAGAGUGGCAGUGUUCGACGGCGGAGAUCAGCUGCUGGACGUACCGCCGAGCAGUGGCGGAUCUAGGAUCCAAGAGUUGUCUAGGCUAUUUUUACAAGGGCAUAGAAUUUUUUUUGUUUUUGGGUUUCGAACCUCUCAGGGAAGGGGAAACUAAGUAAAACGUAUCUUACAAGAUCUGCUCACUUCAAACUCAUCAAUCACAGAUUUAUUAUCAAUGUUAUCGACAAUUUUUUACGAUAUAGAGAAUCAUCAUAUCAUCAAGAAACUUUGGAUAUCUUGUGUGGACUUGACUCAUGAUCUGUUUCUAUUUAAGCCUUAUAUUUUCAUUGAUUAUCAUGUUUGAAUUUCUUUAUGGACAAAUAAAUAUGCAGAGCUUUAAAAACUCAAGAUUUCAAAGGAUAUAUUUACAAGACUACAAGGUAGCGAACUAAUCUCUUAUUAGAUUUAGAAGACUAUCAUGCCCAAAGAUGGGGAACUAAAUGUUUCUUCUCACUCUUGUUUAGGUUAUGGGAUGUAAAUAUAUAUACCUAUAUAUACUUGAGGGUUUUUGGCCAAAAAAACUAUCUAGGCUUGAGCCUAUAUAGCCCUUCAUGUGUAUCCGCCCAUGCCGCCAAGGUGCCGCCGUUGACGACGGAGACUCGGAGAGACUAGGGGAGGGUGUCUCAGAGAGCUCCACCUCGAACUUCGAUCUAUACUCCUUGAUGAGGAAAACGAGAAUAGAAGAUCAAACCUUGCUGCCAAGUGCCGACAACGACGAUGGAAGGGAUGGAGUCCUAGAGAGCUCUGCCAUGAUCUUCGAUCUAAGAUCCUUGACGAGCACCACACGCUCCUCGACUUUCAGCUCCGAUUUCUGAUGAGGUAACUAUCUACAGCGAUGGUGUGCCCCAUGGAUGGAGGGUUCCGGCGAUGUAAGGCUAGGGUUCCGGCGAGAUCUGGUUGGUCAUGGAGAGAGAGAGAGAGAGAGAGAGAGAGAGAGAGAGAGAGAGAGAGAGNNNNNNNNNNNNNNNNNNNNAGAGAGAGAGAGAGUUUUUUUUUAAUGGAGAGAGAAACAGAUUUGUAGCCUUGUAAGGAAAGGAGGAUGUUGAAGGUAUAUUAUAAAAAUAAAAUGAUAGAUUUAGCCUUGUAAGUGGACUUGUAUAGGUAAAAAUGUUUGGGUGGACUUAUGAAGAAGGGGACUUCUAUGAAAUUUUCUAUAAUCUAUUUUGAUAAGUGAGUCCUAUGUUUUUUGGUUCACUUUGUGAUGUUAGGUGAGCGAGAAAAGUGUAAUGGGUACUACCUUACGAUUUUAUUUGUCUUUUAUAUGCAAAGCAGUAGAUCGAUUCAUGAUGUACAUAUAUUUCGAUGGAAUGAAGAUCCAUUUAAUUCAAAAAAAAAAAGUGUGGAAACCAGAUUUGAGCUAUUUACAUUAAAAACAGGUUUAUACGCAAAGCAGUAGAUCGAUUCAUGAUGUACAUAUAUUUCGAUGGAAUGAAGAUUCAUUUAAUUCAAAAAAAAAAAGCGUGGAAACCAGAUUUAAGCUAUUUACAUUAAAAACAGGUUUAUAGAGGACUAUCGAAAAAAUCUCAAUUAUGUGUCAUUUCUUGAGGAGGGGGUCUUUUUAGAUGGAGCUCUGCAAUGGUUACACAAUACACACGAAAGAGCUCCGUUGUACGACGAUGAUUCACUAAUGUCGCAUGUCAGUGAUGUGACUAAUUUUCAAAAUAUAUCACAUGAUAGUUUGCAAAUAGCCAAGGUUAGACAAAAUUGACUGAAUUCGAACUUGGAAAGUGUAUGUGGGCAUGGGAUAUGAGAAAGUCUAAGAUCAGGUUAUGAGCUUAUGUUCUUAGAACAUCUCUAACCCUCAACGUCAGUGGCAUACCUAGAAAUGUCGCUGAAGAGGGUCAAACUCAAAUAAGUUUUUAAACGAAAGAACAUUAUAUGAUUACUUAAAUUUUUGAAUAAUCGUUUAAAUGAUUGACCCUUCUCGACCCACCCCUUUAUUGUCAACGUUAUCAGUUAUUUGAAAUAACAAACUCACCAUUACUUGAAACUGAAGCCUUACUUAUCUUCUAAACGAAUACUGAUAUCAUUUCUCUUCAAUUCUAAAUGAGACUUCAAGUUUUAUUCCUGUCAACUGAUGCUUAAAUUCAUUUAGAAGAGCAAUUGUUUUUGUUUGAAUACCUCUUUAUAUCCUUCUACAAAAGAAGCCCAAAAAGAAAAGAGCAACAAAGAACUUGGCCCAAUCUAAUAGUAACCCUCUGCCAAAAAAAAAGAAAAAAAAACUAGAUAGCAACCGAACAGCACUAGGGAUCUUCAUCAUCUUUUUUUUUUUUUUUUUUUAUUGCAUCUAUUGCCACCCCACAAACCACUUUGAUCACCCCACACGUUGUUAAUUUAUUGAAUAACUAAUAUACCUAAUGUAAAAUUACAACAAGGGACAAUAAGUUGUUACAAAUUACAAAUUACAAAUUACAAAUUCUUUUUUUUUUUUAGAUAAACACAUAUUUCAUAAACCUUAACCCAUAAUUUAUCAUAUUCGAUCUUUCUAUGAAGUCUGAAGAAGACACUAGCAUUCAACUCAAGAUGAGAUGAACUGUUUGUAUUUUUCUUUUUUCUUUAUUGAUGUUUCGUCUAUCUCUUUACUCAUUAUUUCUCAUGUCGAUUUUGUAUGUAAAUUUUCAUGUCUAGUCGCUCACUUAUAUAUAUUCGAUUUGUUUUUUUUUUCAUUGGCGUCAGAGCUUUUUCCAAGUAGUGUUUACAUACAUUAUGCAUCUUCAUAUCGACAUAUACCAAUGAGUUGUUAAGUUUGAGAGUUUUUUCUUGUUCUUUAAUUAAGAUUUAUACUUUAAUGUGAUUUUUAUUAUUUAGUUUGUGAUUCCACUUACCCAAAUGAUAUGAAUCUUAUGGUUUUCUACAGUUUCAUUUUGUUUUUGGAGUUCAAUGGUUAUUGGAAGAGGAUGAUAUUGUGUGUAUUGCAAAUCAGUGAAUAAAGUAAAUUAAAAAUUAUAUAAGCGGGGUAAGAAGAGAUUGAAUAUAGGGUGAACAAAGUAAAUCUGAAAUUGAAAAAAAAAAUAUAUGUAGGGUGAAAAAAGAAUUUAGGGUGAAUAAAACAAAAAUGAAAAAAAAUGUAUUUUAGAUAUUGUAAAUGGAUGAAUAAAGUAAACUUACAAUUAAAAAUAUAUAAAUAAGGUGUGAAGAGAACCUGUGGUGAACAAAAUAAUUUAUGGGAUGGCAAUAGAUGCACCUUUUUUUUUUUUUUGAAAACAAGAUCUUCAUCUUCAUCUUCUUAUCUUCUUGUAGAGUUGGAGCCACUGAAUGAUUAAAAAAUGAAGAACAACAAAUGAUUAAAAAGUGGAACAAAGUCAGCAAAGAAACUAAAUUGAUGAUAUUAGAAUAGACAAGAUCACCAAACUUUCGCCAUCCAUCCGUUACUCAAUGCACUACUAAAGCUACAGCCUUUGGGUCUCUUCGUUAGCUUAGCUUUAUCAUACCAUUAUUAUAGUAUGGACUAUGGAGAAUAGAUCUGCAAAGAUUUGUACUUGUGUGUGUCUUUAUAUAUCUCACGGACAAGUAAACUGAAAUGCCAUCAUAUUUCCCAAAAAAAAAAAACAAACUGAAAUGCCAUCAUUGUAGUUUUAUAGUUCUACCCAGAUCUUCAAAGAAAAGGAGAAUGGAGAUGAGAGUAAUUGGAGACCGAGAGCACAAAACUCCAGGCUUUUUCAAAAUACUGUUUCAUUCACCCAAUGCCAUAUAUUUCAACCAUUUUUCUAAAUUAUGGAAUAAAAAGGGCAGCUGAUCGAAAACGUUUAAUGAAUGGCAUUAGCCUACUAAGUUUCGGACCUUUUGGUAAGACAGUUUUUUAGGAACAUAUAUGUAGAAAUUAAGCAACAGAUAAGAGGAAUUGGAACAUAUUAAGUGAGCGUUCAUGCGACUCCCUACAGUUCCCAGUCCAGUCAAGAGUAUUACCAGUCCAGUCAUGUCGACACAGUUUCCGGCGUUCGCUGUUCUUAUUGUCAUCCUACUGGUGUUCAUCUCUCUUGCUCUAGCCGAAGUGCAUUAAUUACUACGAUUUUAUGGUAAGUUCUUUUUCAAUGAUUGAUUUCCCAGUUCAUUCAUCUAUUCACUUCAAGCAUUCUAGCUUAGUAUUGUUAUUCAUUCUAGAUACUCCUGCUGUCCUGCAUGCAAUGAUGCGAUGAUACAAGAACUAAUGCCAAUGUUUUGUCAAAUUAUGUGCCUCUUGGUCAUCACAAUUUUGAUUAAUCAUUUAGGUUAAGGAGGUAAACUUCACUAGAUUGGUGAAUCCAAACUCAUGUUAGUAGUAAACGAGAGUUAUCCAGGUCCAGCAAUACGAGCUCGCAAAGGAGACACUAUUUAUGUUAAUGACUACAAUCAAGGAUAUUACGGAUUCACCAUUCACUGGCAAGUCCCUUCACAGUCCUCCUCUAUCGCAAAGGAGACACUAUUUAUGUUAAUGUCUACAAUCAAGGAUAUUAGUAGCUACCACAGUUGCGUAGGCCCAAGGGGAAAUAUAAAAAUGGAAAGGCAGCUUGCCAACAGCUACCUGGCCGAGCUUAAUUGCCAACUACCUGACCGAGUCCGGCCAUGGCAUUUGUGAUUGUAAAGCCAAGAAAUCAAGCUACUACAGUACUACCUAUCUUUAAAAAGCAAAUCCAACAAAAAUCUUCUUGCAACCAAAAUCAAUUACAAAAUGUGGAAAAGACAAAUGAAAUAUUAGAAGUAUCACCAACCUUUCGCACUCGUCCCGUCACUGAAUGCAGUGUAAUUGGGAACAAAUUUGUUCUAUGCCUUUGUUGGAUGUAAUACCAUUAUUGUUGUAGUGCUUGCAGAAAACUCUUCGAUCGACCUUGAAUAUGGACAUUGGACAUGAUAAUCUGAGAGUUUUUGGAGAUCGAUCGAGAGCAAAAUAUCAUGAUUCUUUCGUCAAGAUUCAAACUCCAUUUUCAAUUUUGGUAAACUUUAAAUGGCAGGUGAACACGUUAAUGAUUGGCCCCGUACCGUAGUUUUCGGACUUUUUGGUAAGAAAGGUUGUUAAGAAGAACAUAUACCUACAUGAAAUCAACAUACUUGAGGAACAAAUAAAUUUAAGCAAGUGUGCGCAAAUCUGCAGCUCCCUAGAUUUCAAAUACUUCACAAACAAACGCGCGCGGCACAGAUUGAAAUCUUUGAGGAGUACUAGUACGUAGUCCAGUCAUGGCGACACAGUUUCUGGUGUUCGCUGUUCUUAUUGUCAUCCUACUGGUGUUCAUCUCUCUUGCUCAAUGCGAAGUGCAUUACCAUGAUUUUAUAGUAAGUAAAUUUUUGAUGCUUUAUUUCCCAGUUCGAUUAUCUAUUCCCUUCAAGCAUUCUAGUUGUUUUGGGCACAAUCCUCAACAGAGGUAGAGAGGUAACUUAAUAGGUCCAAAUGUAAAAAAAAAAGAUUGCGGGCAUGCCACCGCGCGGACGCAAAAAGUAGUGGUCGUAGUAGUGGGGUGCGUUUAGCCUUCUGCUUCUAAUCAAGCGAUUAAGGAUGAAGAGAGCACCAACUCCACCGUAGGGUUCUUCAAAUUCGCCUUGCGUAUUAGGUAAGGACUUACAGUAGUCUACCUGAGCGUCACAAUAUCGAUACUCGAUGUAAGGUCGAGCAAAGCAUCAACUGGAAAGGAAGGGAAAAAAGACAAAGCUCUGAGAAGCGAACAUGGAAACUAAAGCAAAGCUCCAUGGAGCCCUUCAAAAGAAAAAGGUGCUAAGGCUGGAUGCUUUAGCGUCAAGUUUAAUUAUGUUGAAAGUUAUAUUGUAUUUUUGUUAAGUUAUUGUGAGAGUUAGACCAGAUCCUCGAAUUCCCUUAUAUAGAGGUGAAUUCGUUAGUUGUUGAUAAGGAUUCGGUCUUUGCUGCAUAGUCAGUUGAGUUUCACAAGGUCUCGUUUUUCUUGGCAACCACGUAGCUGGGUGACGCAGUUCUAAUCACGUAUGUAGACUUAUUUUAGGGCCAUAGGUAUUGGCCUAAAGCGAGUCAAAGACUUGUGGAAGUCUUCAACGUAAAUGUAGCGUAGGCAAUAUUAAUCACUUGCUUGAUAUAAUUAUGUUUCGGCGAAGUAACUAAUUGCCUCUAUCUAGAAGAGUUGAGUUAGAACAACUCAACUCAUGGAGACUUGCGAACCUUGAGGACUUCAAACUACUGGAUGCACAUGCAUUUGCAUACAUGUGAUUAAGGAAUAGAAACCUUAACACAUGCAAACGCUUCCACUGGCGAGCCGCGCACAUAUAGCCCCUUUUAUGCAAUUAAAAAUAAUAGCUUUCUUUUCCAAUCAAACAACCAUGCGGAGCUCGCCUCAUAUAGUCCCCUUUUUGUAUGCGAACUCUUCUUCUUGAUUCUUCGCGAAGUUCUUCUCCUAUGCGAAGUCGCGAAGUCCUUCUCCUACGCGAAGUCAUCUUGCACGCGAACUAUGUCACUCAGCUCGCCUGGUUCUGUUGGCGGGUCAUCACUUGUAAACCCAAUUUGGGCUCACCGGUGUAACGUGAACCAUAAAUUUAAUUAAUAUUCACUUAGACAAUUAUUGUCUAAUAAAAUAUUAAUUCUAGAUGUAAACACUAUUAUCUGUAUUGUGCGUUAUUCAUUCCAGCUAUACUCGAUCAUGCAUGGAAUCAUAACAUAACUAAUUUGUUCUGAUCUUUAACUAAUUUAGGAAUGUGCAUCUUGGUAAUUGCAAUUUUUUAUUAAUCAAUUAGGUGAAGGAGGUAAACUUCACAAGAUUGUGUGAAUCAAAGCUCAUGUUAGUAGUAAACGAGAGUUAUCCAGGUCCAGCAAUACGAGCUCGCAAAGGAGACACUAUUUAUGUUAAUGUCUACAAUCAAGGAUAUUACGGAUUCACUAUUCACUGGCAAGUCCCUUCACACGAUCGACCUCCUCUCUGUUUAUAUAUUGCUUCCUUUACUUGAUAUAAUACUUGUACUUUACAUUAUUAAAUUGAUCAUCUUUUAUCUUUGUAAAUUAACAUGCAAACACUUGGUAUGAUGAUCCAGGCAUGGCGUAAAACAACCAAGAAAUCCAUGGUUUGAUGGCCCAGAAUAUGUGACACAAUGUCCAAUCUUACCUGGUACUAAUUUUACCUAUCAAGUUCAGUUGAGCACAGAAGAAGGAACACUAUGGUGGCAUGCUCAUAGUGAUUGGACUAGAGCAAGCGUUCACGGUGCCAUUGCUGUAUUGCCUGCUCUUGGAACAACAUUUCCAUUUCCUGAGCCUGAUGAAGAGGAGAUCA